Molecule: ribosomal RNA, 254 nt
Filed under: uncultured bacterium
Lineage: Bacteria
Description: partial 16S ribosomal RNA
Rfam family: Bacterial small subunit ribosomal RNA
Source: RNAcentral
UACGUAGGUGGCAAGCGUUGUCCGGAUUUACUGGGCGUAAAGAGCGCGCAGGCGGUCGUUCAAGUCGAGUGUGAAAGCCCCCGGCUCAACUGGGGAGGGUCACUCGAUACUGCUCUGACUUGAGUUCGGUAGGGGAGUGGGGAAUUCCUGGUGUAGCGGUGAAAUGCGCAGAUAUCAGGAGGAACACCGGUGGCGAAGGCGCCACUCUGGGCCGAAACUGACGCUGAGGAGCGAAAGCGUGGGUAGCAAACAGG